GCUUGUCUCAAAGAUUAAGCCAUGCAUGUCUAAGUAUAAACGAUUUUAUACGUGAAACUGCGAAUGGCUCAUUAUAUCAGUUAUAGUUUAUUUGAUGGUCCUUACUAUUUGGAUAACCGUAGUAAUUCUAGAGCUAAUACAUGCAUCAAGCCCUGACUUCGGAAGGGGUGUAUUUAUUAGAUGGAAACCAAUGCGGGGCAACCCGGAAUAUGGUGAUUCAUAAUAACUUUCGGAUCGUUUACGAUGCAUCAUUCAAGUUUCUGCCCUAUCAGCUUUGGAUGGUAGGGUAUUGGCCUACCAUGGCAGUAACGGGUAACGAAGAAUUAGGGUUCGAUUUCGGAGAGGGAGCAUGAGAAACGGCUACCACAUCUAAGGAAGGCAGCAGG
Molecule: ribosomal RNA, 386 nt
Filed under: Ochromonas tuberculata
Lineage: Eukaryota; Chrysophyceae; Chromulinales; Chromulinaceae
Description: partial small subunit ribosomal RNA
Rfam family: Eukaryotic small subunit ribosomal RNA
Source: RNAcentral